UGGCGGCAGGCCUAACACAUGCAAGUCGAGCGGUAACAUUUCUAGCUUGCUAGAAGAUGACGAGCGGCGGACGGGUGAGUAACGCGUAGAAAUCUACCUAGUAGUGGGGGAUAGCCCAGAGGAAUUUGGAUUAAUACCGCAUACGCCCUACGGGGGAAAGCGGGGGAUCUUCGGACCUCGUGCUAUUAGAUGAGUCUGCGUCGGAUUAGCUUGUUGGUGAGGUAAUGGCUCACCAAGGCGACGAUCCGUAGCUGGUCUGAGAGGAUGACCAGCCACACUGGAACUGAGACACGGUCCAGACUCCUACGGGAGGCAGCAGUGGGGAAUAUUGCACAAUGGGCGCAAGCCUGAUGCAGCCAUGCCGCGUGUGUGAAGAAGGCCUUAGGGUUGUAAAGCACUUUCAGCAGUGAGGAAAGGGGUGUCGUUAAUAGCGCCAUCCUGUGACGUUAACUGCAGAAGAAGGACCGGCUAACUCCGUG
RNAcentral lists this ribosomal RNA (479 nucleotides) under uncultured bacterium. RNAcentral's name for it is "bacterial SSU rRNA". It matches the Rfam family "Bacterial small subunit ribosomal RNA", at positions 37 to 507 of the family's 1533-position model. The record is from RNAcentral.